GUACACAUUUCAUUGACCUGCUUUCUUUCAUGUAUGUGAGAAGGGUUUUUUUCUUAUGUGCCUACAAAUAAUUGAAUGUUAAUUAACAGUACAACUAUAUAGUAAUGCUGCCAGUCUCCUUCAGAUAAUU
Molecule: small nucleolar RNA, 130 nt
Organism: Phacochoerus africanus (Common warthog)
Lineage: Eukaryota; Metazoa; Chordata; Mammalia; Artiodactyla; Suidae
Source: RefSeq, a predicted model, not a curated record